CUUGGCCAGUCUCUCAUUCUUGUUCUUCUUUUCUUUUUCUUUUUCACUCAACACAGCAUAUAUACACACACUCCUCUCCCACCAGUACACUCCUCAUUACUUCCACCAUCUUUUCCGGCAAAGUUCUUCAGAAAGCUCUCUAAAAACCUCUUAAGCUCCUACAUCUCAUCUUAUUUAAGGUUCUAGUUAAUCUUAUUUGGAGCUUGGAGAAUUAGGCCUUUUUGUGGGUUGCAAGAGUAGACAACUAUUGUUUUGAGACAACUUUUUGGUGGCUAGCAGUAGUUAAACUAACUGCUGAUGGAGGUUGAGUUUUGUGACGGAGAUAAUUGAUGAUGUAUAACUUAGAGUAGGCUUGACCCAAUUCUUUUGUAUCUAAUAGGGGUUAUGCCUUUAUUUCCACUAAUUAUGAGACAAGUUGAUGAUAUAUAAUUAUUUAUUCAAACCUCCAUUCUUUUGUGUUUAUUGCAUAGAGCUCUAACUUACUUUGGGAGUAAAUUUAAUGGAAUUAUUAUGAUAA
This is a long non-coding RNA of Quercus robur (English oak), 517 nucleotides long. RefSeq lists it as uncharacterized. NCBI's taxonomy places the organism in Eukaryota, Viridiplantae, Streptophyta, Magnoliopsida, Fagales, Fagaceae. The transcript has 3 exons. The record is from RefSeq and is a predicted model, not a curated record.